GACGAACGCUGGCGGCGUGCUUAACACAUGCAAGUCGAACGGAAAGGCCUUUUCGGAGGUACUCGAGUGGCGAACGGGUGAGUAACACGUGGGUGAUCUGCCCUGCACUCUGGGAUAAGCCUGGGAAACUGGGUCUAAUACCGGAUAGGACCGCACUUUAGUGUGUGUGGUGGAAAGUUUUUUCGGUGUAGGAUGAGCCCGCGGCCUAUCAGCUUGUUGGUGGGGUAAUGGCCUACCAAGGCGGCGACGGGUAGCCGGACUGAGAGGUUGGUCGGCCACAUUGGGACUGAGAUACGGCCCAGACUCCUACGGGAGGCAGCAGUGGGGAAUAUUGCACAAUGGGCGCAAGCCUGAUGCAGCGACGCCGCGUGGGGGAUGACGGCCUUUGGGUUGUAAACUCCUUUCGCCAGGGACGAAGCGUUUUGUGACGGUACCUGGAGAAGAAGCACCGGCUAACUACGUG
This 463-nucleotide ribosomal RNA is filed under the name uncultured bacterium. Its description in RNAcentral is "partial 16S ribosomal RNA". It matches the Rfam family "Bacterial small subunit ribosomal RNA", at positions 28 to 507 of the family's 1533-position model. The record is from RNAcentral.